Molecule: non-coding RNA, 73 nt
Organism: Ailuropoda melanoleuca (giant panda)
Lineage: Eukaryota; Metazoa; Chordata; Mammalia; Carnivora; Ursidae
Source: Rfam
GCCUGCCUGGUUCAGUUGGUAGAGCAUGCGACUCUUGAUCUCAGGGUUGUGAGUUCAAGCCCCAUGUUGGGUG